This 731-nucleotide long non-coding RNA is filed under the name Olea europaea subsp. europaea. The record is from RNAcentral. Lineage: Eukaryota; Viridiplantae; Streptophyta; Magnoliopsida; Lamiales; Oleaceae.
ACCUUGAGCUACAAUAAUGGAUGAGUCUACCAGUUGCUAAAAAACAAUUAGGGCAGCCUCAGCAGCAGAAAGAGUUCUUGAGCCUUUUUUAAACCCCUCUUAUUCUCUUUGAAAAGUGACUUGGCGUGCCAUCAAGUUAUCAAUCUUCUUGAUCUGAAUCUUCUGUCUCAACAUCUUCACAGUACAAUCAUUGAGGAAAAAUAUUAGGGCUUGUUUGAUACUAUUAUUUUCAAAAUAGGUUUUCUCUCUUCUUUUGACAACACGUCCUUAAAUAAAAUAUUUUUUAUACACAAAAACUUUUUCUUAUUUUUAUCCAUACAUUGUCCAUCAAUUCGCCAUUCCAAAAUAUAUUAUUUGCCAAAGAUGGGGAUCAAAUAUAUGUGUAUGUCAUUGGUACAAUAAGAAAUAUAUUGAGAUUGGGAGACGAGAAAGAACAUUGUACUUUGUUAAAAAUAAGCAAAAAAGAAACGAAGCAUAUUUUCACAGAAUCUGAAACCAAAAACCCAAAAAAAGGGAAAUCACAGUUAGAAAAAUCAUUCUUUUUUUUUUUCUUUUUUUUCCCCCUUUUUUUUUUUUUUUUUGCAUAAAUAGAAAUCUUCGACGGUGUCACAUUUACUAGUUCAGGGAAGAGACGAAAACCUCCACGUGCAGAAGUGAAACCCUAGAGAGAGAAAGUAGAGAGCAUCUGAAAUGAGAAACCAAGCGAAGUGGCAGUGAAAGUAUCAAUAAAG